UUAAGCGACUAAGCGUACACGGUGGAUGCCCUGGCAGUCAGAGGCGAUGAAGGACGUGCUAAUCUGCGAUAAGCGUCGGUAAGGUGAUAUGAACCGUUAUAACCGGCGAUUUCCGAAUGGGGAAACCCAGUGUGAUUCGUCACACUAUCAUUAACUGAAUCCAUAGGUUAAUGAGGCGAACCGGGGGGACUGAAACAUCUAAGUACCCCGAGGAAAAGAAAUCAACCGAGAUUCCCCCAGUAGCGGCGAGCGAACGGGGAGCAGCCCAGAGCCUGAAUCAGUGUGUGUGUUAGUGGAAGCGUCUGGAAAGGCGCGCGAUACAGGGUGACAGCCCCGUACACAAAAAUGCACAUGCUGUGAGCUCGAUGAGUAGGGCGGGACACGUGGUAUCCUGUCUGAAUAUGGGGGGACCAUCCUCCAAGGCUAAAUACUCCUGACUGACCGAUAGUGAACCAGUACCGUGAGGGAAAGGCGAAAAGAACCCCGGCGAGGGGAGUGAAAAAGAACCUGAAACCGUGUACGUACAAGCAGUGGGAGCACAGAGCAAUCUGUGUGACUGCGUACCUUUUGUAUAAUGGGUCAGCGACUUAUAUUCUGUAGCAAGGUUAACCGAAUAGGGGAGCCGAAGGGAAACCGAGUCUUAACUGGGCGUUAAGUUGCAGGGUAUAGACCCGAAACCCGGUGAUCUAGCCAUGGGCAGGUUGAAGGUUGGGUAACACUAACUGGAGGACCGAACCGACUAAUGUUGAAAAAUUAGCGGAUGACUUGUGGCUGGGGGUGAAAGGCCAAUCAAACCGGGAGAUAGCUGGUUCUCCCCGAAAGCUAUUUAGGUAGCGCCUCGUGAAUUCAUCUCCGGGGGUAGAGCACUGUUUCGGCAAGGGGGUCAUCCCGACUUACCAACCCGAUGCAAACUGCGAAUACCGGAGAAUGUUAUCACGGGAGACACACGGCGGGUGCUAACGUCCGUCGUGAAGAGGGAAACAACCCAGACCGCCAGCUAAGGUCCCAAAGUCAUGGUUAAGUGGGAAACGAUGUGGGAAGGCCCAGACAGCCAGGAUGUUGGCUUAGAAGCAGCCAUCAUUUAAAGAAAGCGUAAUAGCUCACUGGUCGAGUCGGCCUGCGCGGAAGAUGUAACGGGGCUAAACCAUGCACCGAAGCUGCGGCAGCGACGCUGAUGCGUUGUUGGGUAGGGGAGCGUUCUGUAAGUCUGCGAAGGUGUGCUGUGAGGCAUGCUGGAGGUAUCAGAAGUGCGAAUGCUGACAUAAGUAACGAUAAAGCGGGUGAAAAGCCCGCUCGCCGGAAGACCAAGGGUUCCUGUCCAACGUUAAUCGGGGCAGGGUGAGUCGACCCCUAAGGCGAGGCCGAAAGGCGUAGUCGAUGGGAAACAGGUUAAUAUUCCUGUACUUGGUGUUACUGCGAAGGGGGGACGGAGAAGGCUAUGUUGGCCGGGCGACGGUUGUCCCGGUUUAAGCGUGUAGGCUGGUUUUCCAGGCAAAUCCGGAAAAUCAAGGCUGAGGCGUGAUGACGAGGCACUACGGUGCUGAAGCAACAAAUGCCCUGCUUCCAGGAAAAGCCUCUAAGCAUCAGGUAACAUCAAAUCGUACCCCAAACCGACACAGGUGGUCAGGUAGAGAAUACCAAGGCGCUUGAGAGAACUCGGGUGAAGGAACUAGGCAAAAUGGUGCCGUAACUUCGGGAGAAGGCACGCUGAUAUGUAGGUGAAGCGACUUGCUCGUGGAGCUGAAAUCAGUCGAAGAUACCAGCUGGCUGCAACUGUUUAUUAAAAACACAGCACUGUGCAAACACGAAAGUGGACGUAUACGGUGUGACGCCUGCCCGGUGCCGGAAGGUUAAUUGAUGGGGUCAGCGCAAGCGAAGCUCUUGAUCGAAGCCCCGGUAAACGGCGGCCGUAACUAUAACGGUCCUAAGGUAGCGAAAUUCCUUGUCGGGUAAGUUCCGACCUGCACGAAUGGCGUAAUGAUGGCCAGGCUGUCUCCACCCGAGACUCAGUGAAAUUGAACUCGCUGUGAAGAUGCAGUGUACCCGCGGCAAGACGGAAAGACCCCGUGAACCUUUACUAUAGCUUGACACUGAACAUUGAGCCUUGAUGUGUAGGAUAGGUGGGAGGCUUUGAAGUGUGGACGCCAGUCUGCAUGGAGCCGGCCUUGAAAUACCACCCUUUAAUGUUUGAUGUUCUAACGUUGACCCGUGAUCCGGGUUGCGGACAGUGUCUGGUGGGUAGUUUGACUGGGGCGGUCUCCUCCUAAAGAGUAACGGAGGAGCACGAAGGUUGGCUAAUCCUGGUCGGACAUCAGGAGGUUAGUGCAAUGGCAUAAGCCAGCUUGACUGCGAGCGUGACGGCGCGAGCAGGUGCGAAAGCAGGUCAUAGUGAUCCGGUGGUUCUGAAUGGAAGGGCCAUCGCUCAACGGAUAAAAGGUACUCCGGGGAUAACAGGCUGAUACCGCCCAAGAGUUCAUAUCGACGGCGGUGUUUGGCACCUCGAUGUCGGCUCAUCACAUCCUGGGGCUGAAGUAGGUCCCAAGGGUAUGGCUGUUCGCCAUUUAAAGUGGUACGCGAGCUGGGUUUAGAACGUCGUGAGACAGUUCGGUCCCUAUCUGCCGUGGGCGCUGGAGAACUGAGGGGGGCUGCUCCUAGUACGAGAGGACCGGAGUGGACGCAUCACUGGUGUUCGGGUUGUCAUGCCAAUGGCACUGCCCGGUAGCUAAAUGCGGAAGAGAUAAGUGCUGAAAGCAUCUAAGCACGAAACUUGCCCCGAGAUGAGUUCUCCCUGACUCCUUGAGAGUCCUGAAGGAACGUUGAAGACGACGACGUUGAUAGGCCGGGUGUGUAAGCGCAGCGAUGCGUUGAGCUAACCGGUACUAAUGAACCGUGAGGCUUAACCUU
This 2904-nucleotide ribosomal RNA is filed under the name Escherichia coli. RNAcentral's name for it is "bacterial LSU rRNA". It matches the Rfam family "Bacterial large subunit ribosomal RNA". The record is from RNAcentral. Lineage: Bacteria; Pseudomonadati; Pseudomonadota; Gammaproteobacteria; Enterobacterales; Enterobacteriaceae.